Non-coding RNA from Sturnus vulgaris (Common starling), 634 nucleotides. The record is from RefSeq and is a predicted model, not a curated record. Lineage: Eukaryota; Metazoa; Chordata; Aves; Passeriformes; Sturnidae.
GGCCGGGCCACGGCCGCGAACGCUGCGACUACGGUCUGCAGCGCAUCCACCGCCUGUCCUGCCGCUACGACUGCCCUGCAGACUUCUGUUGCAACUUGAACCACGGCUUUGUUCUGUUUGAUUGGAGGUGAGAGAGUUGACAGCUGGCAGUCUCCCGAGAGUCCCAGGAAGCAAUUGUCCAGAGAGCCCAGCAAGAUGUGAGCUGGGCACAGGAUCAGCCAAGGUAGAAGCUGUUGGAGUUUGAACACACCAAGAAGAGGCUGGAGGAGUCAGAACAGCAGAAGAAGGGGCUGCAAGUGCACCUGCAGAACCUGGAGAGGGAACGGAGUCAAUGGGAAGAAGUGGCUCAGCAAAAUUCAGAAUUGCAGGCUUCCGUGAAUGUCCUAGAGAGGGAAAAAGCCAGGCUGAUCUGUCUCUGGAGGAAAAGAACCCGUGCCUCAGAAAACACUGGAAAAAAAGAACCUGGCACUGAACAAUCAGGUGUCUCAUUUUCAUUCUGCUCUUCAGGAGACUGAGCAGCUCCGUUCUGAGCAUAGAAGAGAACUAGAGGAGCUCAACACCCAGAUUGGUGGAAUGCAGAACUCAAGUACACCUCUCGAGAAAUUGCCCUGCAGAAAGAGGCUGCUGAAAGGCA